Molecule: non-coding RNA, 68 nt
Organism: Neogale vison (American mink)
Lineage: Eukaryota; Metazoa; Chordata; Mammalia; Carnivora; Mustelidae
Source: Ensembl
CAAAGUGUAGCUUAACUAAAGCAUCCGGCUUACACCCAGAAGAUUUCAUUUAUUAAUGACCACUUUGA